RNAcentral lists this ribosomal RNA (318 nucleotides) under Ramaria circinans var. circinans. RNAcentral describes it as "eukaryotic LSU rRNA". It matches the Rfam family "Eukaryotic large subunit ribosomal RNA", at positions 373 to 656 of the family's 3401-position model. Lineage: Eukaryota; Fungi; Basidiomycota; Agaricomycetes; Gomphales; Gomphaceae. The record is from RNAcentral.
ACUUUGGAAAGAGAGUUAAACAGUACGUGAAAUUGUUGAAAGGGAAACGAUUGAAGUCAGUCGCGUCUUCCGAGAUUCAAUCUUGCUUAACGGCUUGGUGUACUUCUCGGAUCAGACGGGCCAGCAUCAAUUUGAAGGGUUGGAAAAAGGCAUUGAUAAUGUGGCACUCUUUCGUGGAGUGUGUUAUAGAUCUCUGUCGCAUACAACACUUUGGAUUGAGGAUCGCAGCACGCUUUUGGGAUUUAUUUCAAAGGUCGGGGUUCGCCCACGUUCACGUGCUUAGGAUGCUGGCGUAAUGGCUUUAAACGACCCGUCUUG